UACGUAGGGUGCAAGCGUUGUCCGGAAUUAUUGGGCGUAAAGAGCUCGUAGGCGGUUUGUCGCGUCUGCUGUGAAAACUCGGGGCUAAACUCCGGGCCUGCAGUGGGUACGGGCAGACUAGAGUGCGGUAGGGGAGACUGGAAUUCCUGGUGUAGCGGUGAAAUGCGCAGAUAUCAGGAGGAACACCGGUGGCGAAGGCGGGUCUCUGGGCCGUAACUGACGCUGAGGAGCGAAAGCGUGGGGAGCGAACAGG
Molecule: ribosomal RNA, 253 nt
Filed under: uncultured bacterium
Lineage: Bacteria
Description: partial 16S ribosomal RNA
Rfam family: Bacterial small subunit ribosomal RNA
Source: RNAcentral